AAGAAGAAAGGCAGAAAAAAAACGGAGUAAAAAAAAAAAAAAGGGAAAGGAAGGUUGUCGUGUUGCCUUUCUCUCUAUAGUUUGAUUGCAAAGAAAAGUAUCGAGAGAGAGAGGGAAUACGAUUUUGAUGAUAAAAUGAUGAUGAAAUUGAUGAGAAUUUUUCGUCGGUUGGAGUUUUGAAAUGGGUUUCAUUAUUGGAUUGCUGAGUUUGGAUAUCGCCAACGACAGCUAUUAUUUCAAGAAGCUACUACCGUUGAAACGUCGCUGCUUUCGGUUGGGAUCCAAGUUUCUUGUUGGGGUCGAGUCAAUACCGUCGGGGGAGUUCGCUUCUCCUUAUUUGCGCUUCUUCAAGCGCGCUUCAUGACCAUGAUCCCUUCCCCACAAAUCUCUCUUGGAUCUCGCUCGCAGAUCCACCCCCACCGCCACCAUCACAACAACAAAAACAACUCCCUAGCCUUUGUUUUUCUUCCCGAUGGAUCCCACUUCUCGCCCUGCUGUCGUCAUCGACAACGGCACCGGGUAUACUAAGAUGGGAUUUGCGGGUAAUGUAGAGCCGUGUUUUAUUCAACCAACAGUAGUAGCAGUAAACGAGUCGUUUCUAAAUCAAUCAAGAAGUUCUUCAAAAGCAAAUUGGUUAGCUCAGUAUUCAGCUGGGGUAAUGGCAGAUCUUGAUUUCUUCAUUGGAGAUGAAGCACUCGCGAGAUCGCGAGCUAGUAAUACUUAUAAUCUUACCUAUCCUAUUAGGCAUGGUCAAGUUGAUAAUUGGGAUGCUAUGGAACGUUAUUGGCAGCAAUGUAUUUUCAAUUAUUUACGGUGUGAUCCUGAGGAUCAUUACUUUUUGUUGACUGAGAGUCCGCUUACUGCUCCCGAGAGUCGAGAGUAUACUGGUGAAAUUAUGUUUGAGACGUUUAAUGUUCCGGGGCUUUACAUUGCUGUGAAUUCUGUGCUUGCUUUAGCAGCUGGGUACACUACAUCUAAGUGUGAGAUGACAGGGGUGGUAGUGGAUGUUGGAGAUGGGGCUACACAUGUUGUACCUGUUGCAGACGGUUAUGUUAUUGGAAGCAGCAUUAAAUCAAUACCAAUUGCUGGAAAAGAUGUAACUCUCUUCAUACAGCAGCUAAUGCGGGAAAGAGGAGAGAAAAUUCCACCAGAGGACUCAUUUGAAGCAGCUCGGAAAGUGAAGGAGAUGUACUGCUAUACUUGUUCUGAUAUUGUCAAGGAGUUCAACAAGCAUGACAAAGAACCUGCAAAGUACAUCAAACAAUGGAGAGGUAUUAGACCGAAGACAGGGGCACCAUACUCCUGUGAUAUUGGUUAUGAACGAUUUUUAGGCCCAGAGGUUUUCUUUAGUCCUGAGAUCUAUAGCAGUGAUUUUACCACUCCUUUACCAGCUGUAAUAGAUAAGUGCAUUCAGUCAGCACCAAUUGACACAAGAAGAGCUUUGUAUAAGAAUAUAGUUUUAUCUGGUGGAUCAACCAUGUUCAAAGACUUCCACAGAAGGUUGCAGCGGGAUCUGAAAAAGAUUGUGGAUGCCCGAGUUCUUGCAUCUGAUGCUCGGCUUGGUGGGGAAGUAAAAGCACAACCUGUGGAAGUUAAUGUUGUCAGUCAUCCUAUCCAAAGAUUUGCAGUUUGGUUUGGAGGCUGCUGAAUGGCCUUGAAUAUGGCAUUUAUAGUCGGCCACUGUUCUUGCAUUGGUUGAUAUGCAUGUCAUACAAAAGCAGAAUAUGAGGAAUACGGAGCGAGCAUUUGCCGCACAAAUCCUGUAUUUAAGGGGAUGUACUGAGGCAAAUAUCCACUUUUCAGCCGAUUAUUGAAAAAGUAAUCAUCGAUGAUGCUCAAGUGGGUGACUUGGUAUUUCCACUUCCAUCAUGAACAUCAGUUCUUAUCUCUUGUUCCAUCUGUGCUAGGUGCUCAUGUGUAUUGGUUGUAAGAGGUGGUGUAAAACAUGGUAGCCAGUCUCAAUUUCAAUGGUUAAAAAAGGAAAGUUCUUACAUUCAUUCUUUAAUUAGGAGGCAAGGGUCGUCCUCACAGCAGCCCGGAGAAUGCAGUCAAAUUUGUUGCCAGCAGGCUCUGCCAACACUUAAUGGAACAGAUGGAAUAUCAAAUAGUUGGAAAAAAAUCUGCUGAGCUGAAUUGCAUUUUUAGUGUUCAGCUUACUUAGGGUUUUACAUAAAUUUUUUUUUUCUCAUUUUGGGGUGGGCCAGAGUAGGGUGGUUGGUUGUGUUUUGGUGGCAACGGUAAACCCGGUGGUGAUUCUGAGUCUUUGUUCCACCAGUACAUUCUCUGUUAGAAAGCAAGAUUGGAGUUCUAAUUGAGUUAGAAAUUUGUUUUUGUGAUAUUCUGUAAUUGGUAUUAAUCUUUUGUGUAAUAUUGAUCAAGAUGGCAAAAUUUCACAUAUGGUUUCAGCACAUUAUGCAACAAUUAUGAUGUUCUUUUUGUAUGGGAUA
This is an RNA transcript of Theobroma cacao (cacao), 2447 nucleotides long. It is a transcript of the gene named Actin-like ATPase superfamily protein, with no coding region annotated. Lineage: Eukaryota; Viridiplantae; Streptophyta; Magnoliopsida; Malvales; Malvaceae. The record is from RefSeq and is a predicted model, not a curated record.